GUUGUAGGGUCUUCACUGACUCAGUAACGAAGCUAACGCGUGAAGUUGACCACCUGGGGAGUACGGCCGCAAGGUUAAAACUCAAAGGAAUUGACGGGGACCCGCACAAGCGGUGGAUGAUGUGGUUUAAUUCGAUGCAACGCGAAAAACCUUACCCACCUUUGACAUGUACGGAAUCCUUUAGAGAUAGAGGAGUGCUCGAAAGAGAGCCGUAACACAGGUGCUGCAUGGCUGUCGUCAGCUCGUGUCGUGAGAUGUUGGGUUAAGUCCCGCAACGAGCGCAACCCUUGCCAUUAGUUGCUACGAAAGGGCACUCUAAUGGGACUGCCGGUGACAAACCGGAGGAAGGUGGGGAUGACGUCAAGUCCUCAUGGCCCUUAUAGGUGGGGCUACACACGUCAUACAAUGGCUGGUACAAAGGGUUGCCAACCCGCGAGGGGGAGCCAAUCCCACAAAGCCAGUCGUAGUCCGGAUCGCAGUCUGCAACUCGACUGCGUGAAGUCGGAAUCGCUAGUAAUCGUGGAUCAGAAUGUCACGGUGAAUACGUUCCCGGGUCUUGUACACACCGCCCGUCACACCAUGGGAGCGGGUUCUGCCAGAAGUAGGUAGCCUAACCGUAAGGAGGGCGCUUACCACGGCAGGGUUGGUGACUGGGGUGAAGUCGUAACAAAGGUAGCC
RNAcentral lists this ribosomal RNA (678 nucleotides) under uncultured bacterium. RNAcentral's name for it is "bacterial SSU rRNA". It matches the Rfam family "Bacterial small subunit ribosomal RNA", at positions 819 to 1501 of the family's 1533-position model. The record is from RNAcentral.